This is a long non-coding RNA of Oryza brachyantha (malo sina), 1462 nucleotides long. RefSeq lists it as uncharacterized. The transcript is spliced from 4 exons. The record is from RefSeq and is a predicted model, not a curated record. NCBI's taxonomy places the organism in Eukaryota, Viridiplantae, Streptophyta, Magnoliopsida, Poales, Poaceae.
UCCCCUCCCACUGCAGUAGAACAGAUCGAUCCCCUCGUUGCCUGCUGCUCGUUCGGUACGCUCCGCCGCCACUGCUCCCCUCGUCGCCGCUUCAGCUCCAUCCCCUCCGCUCCCCUCUGCGCACCGUGCCGCCUCUGCCCCCUCCUCGCCGCCUCCGCUCCCCUCCGCGCCGCCUCCGCUCCAUCUCGUCGGAGCUCCAAGCCCCUCCCCUCUUGCACUCCAGGAUCGAUCCAUCGGCAUCACCUUCAUCCUCUGUCCCUCUGCUCAUUCGUGCCGCCAGCCGGACUAGAAGGAGGAUGCGUCGAUUAAGCUCAGGCUCUAGAGGGGCCUCCAGUUUUGCAAAUGGUUCAGCUAGUGCCAACACGAGGGGCCUCCGGUUGAAUGGUUCAUCUGCCUCUCAGCAACUUACCAAUCUGGAUCAAGAAGAGGAGCAAGAUGGUGAAUUCUGGUAUCGCGGCCCCACACGAGUGCCAACACGGCCUACUCGAGAGGAGGAUAAACCCAGGCUUACUCCGAAGAGGGAUAAGUAAUUACUCCGAAGAGGCUGAUAAAAGAGUAUUUCCCUGGAGUGGUGAAGGCUCUGUUUUUUUCAGCUUGGGAUUAUUAUAAUAUAGAUUAUUAGGAGUAAGUUAAAAAAACAGAGAACUUAUUGAAGUAGCUUAUUAUAAUCUGUAGCCCAGCUUAUUAUAAUCUGAUAAGCUCAUUUUUGUGAGCUUUUUCCAAAUUAUUGGGUGAAAAAUUAUCCACCAUGCCACCACACUCUCUCUUUAGACUUGUAAACCUAAUAAUCUAGACUCUAAUAAUCUAGAAAAGAAAUAACUCAUAACUUAUUCUAGUACAGAUUAUAACAAUCUAGCUUAUAGUAAUGUGACUCAAUAAUCUAGAUUAUAAUAAUCUUAAGCCGAAAGAAACAAGGCCGAAGUUCAAUGGCAGAGAUGAGCCUGCAUGGUCUGCUGAACAUUACAGUCUACUAACAGAUAAUCCCAAAGAGAAUCAAACUAGCUUACCAAGCCUUCUUCAUCGCGUUGAAGAAGAAUUUUGGCGUUACUUUAGAUGGGCAGAGGGCAAAGAAAAAGAGGCUAGAAUGGUUGUGCACAACUGUGUGAAGCAACUCUUCACAAAUAUUUUCUAUGAAACUCGUAUGUGGGCUGUGAUUAACUACCAUAAGAAGAUUCUCAAACAAGAUAUUACUCGGGAGGAGGCUGCAUGAACAAAUUGUAGGCGCUUCAAAGCAACCUCAACAUAGACUUUUUGCCUCCAUGUCCACCUUCACUUACUCAUCUGGCAACAUCUGGAUCUGAUGAAGCGUCAACUGGAAACCCAAUUGUCGGUAGUGAGAGAAUGGUCCAUGAACCAAAUAUCACAGAGCAGGUUGACUUCGUUGCUGGUGCCAGUGGUCUGCGUGUGGCAUGAAUGUUUGAAAAUUACUCAUACUUAUUGAAGGAUCUGGUAGCUGCGUUCU